RNAcentral lists this ribosomal RNA (378 nucleotides) under Saprospiraceae bacterium. RNAcentral describes it as "partial 23S ribosomal RNA". It matches the Rfam family "Bacterial large subunit ribosomal RNA", at positions 2551 to 2925 of the family's 2925-position model. Lineage: Bacteria; Pseudomonadati; Bacteroidota; Saprospiria; Saprospirales; Saprospiraceae. The record is from RNAcentral.
GGCUGGAGAAGGUCCCAAGGGUUGGGCUGUUCGCCCAUUAAAGCGGCACGUGAGCUGGGUUCAGAACGUCGCAAGACAGUUCGGUCCCUAUCUGUUGUGGGCGCAGGAAGAUUGAAGAGACCUGAUACCAGUACGAGAGGACCGUGUUGGACGAACCGCUUGUGUAUCUGUUGUGCCGCCAGGUGCAGCGCAGAGUAGCAAUGUUCGGCAGGGAUAAGCGCUGAAAGCAUCUAAGCGCGAAGCCUACUCUGAGAUGAAUCUUCCAUCCCGGCAUAGCCGGGUAAGGGUCGCAGAAGACUACUGCGUUGAUAGGCGGCAGGUGUACGUAUGGCAACAUACUCAGCCGAGCCGUACUAAUUACCCGUGAGCUUCCUUUUU